AGCGGAAGCUUGACAGGGUUAUUCUGAGUGAUUUCCGCUAAGGAAGUCUUUUGGCACCUCUAAAAAUGGUGCAGAAUAAGGGGUGGGCAAGUCUGGUGUCAGCCGCCGCGGUAAUACCAGCACCCCGAGUGGUCGGGACGAUUAUUGGGCCUAAAGCAUCCGUAGCCGGUUCUGCAAGUCUUCCGUUAAAUCCACCCGCUUAACGGAUGGGCCGCGGAGGAUACUAUAGAGCUAGGAGGCGGGAGAGGCAAGCGGUACUUAAUGGGUAGGGGUAAAAUCCGUUGAUCCAUUGAAGACCACCAGUGGCGAAGGCGGCUUGCCAGAACGCGCUCGACGGUGAGGGAUGAAAGCUGGGGGAGCAAACCGGAUUAGAUACCCGGGUAGCCCCACCUGUAAACGAUGCAGACUCGGUGAUGAAUGGGCUUCGGCCCUAUCCGGUGCCGCAGAGAAGCCGUUAAGUCUCCCGCCUGGGAGGUACGGUCGUAAGACUGAAACUUAA
This 499-nucleotide ribosomal RNA is filed under the name uncultured crenarchaeote. RNAcentral describes it as "bacterial SSU rRNA". It matches the Rfam family "Archaeal small subunit ribosomal RNA", at positions 358 to 859 of the family's 1478-position model. Lineage: Archaea; Thermoproteati; Thermoproteota. The record is from RNAcentral.